AAAUCCGCUUUGAUAAUGCUGGGAUGUGAUGGGGAGCGAAAUUUAGUAGCGAAGUAGCUGAUUUCACACUGUCAAGAAAAGUCUCUAUCGAGGUUAAAGGUACCCGUACCGCAAACCGACACAGGUGGGUGAGGAGCGUAUCCUAAGGCCAGCGAGAGAACUGUUGUUAAGGAACUCGGCAAAAUGACCCCGUAACUUAGGGAUAAGGGGUGCCACCAUCAGGUGGCCGCAGAGAAUAGGCCCAAGCGACUGUUUACCAAAAACAUAGGUUUCUGCUAAGUCGCAAGACGAUGUAUAGGAGCUGACGCCUGCCCGGUGCUGGAAGGUUAA
Molecule: ribosomal RNA, 330 nt
Filed under: Clostridioides difficile
Lineage: Bacteria; Bacillati; Bacillota; Clostridia; Peptostreptococcales; Peptostreptococcaceae
Description: partial 23S ribosomal RNA
Rfam family: Bacterial large subunit ribosomal RNA
Source: RNAcentral